This 687-nucleotide long non-coding RNA is filed under the name Microcebus murinus (gray mouse lemur). RNAcentral's name for it is "lncRNA (ENSMICG00000048666.1)". The record is from RNAcentral. Lineage: Eukaryota; Metazoa; Chordata; Mammalia; Primates; Cheirogaleidae.
GACAGAAGUCCCUUCCCCCUUGCUGCCGGGUGUAAAUGCAACAGGAAACCCAAACCGAAUAUCACAUGGCACGCUUCCAUACUGUGAACAAAUCUAAAACUUGUAUUCAUGAUGAGUUUAACAUACUUUCCUGAGCUGAACAGAUAAUAACCAUUGUGAAUAACAUUAUGUGUGGGGGGAAAUAUCUGUCAAAUUCCAACUAAGUGACUUCCAAAAAACAUUUGCAUUGCAUCAAUUUGUAAUCCAUAAGCUCAUUUUCCUGCUUUCUUUUUUCAGUUACAUAAUGAAAUUUAAUGAAGCAAGUGUCAGAUCUGCAUCUCUCCUUAAACUCAUUUUAUCAGUUCAGAGAAUAAAGAAAUGAAUUUAAUAAUGUGAAGUCAUUGACUUGGCUACUUGUAUUCGAUCGGAUCCUAAUCAUUUCUCACACUAAUGCAUUCCUCUAUCGCCUUCAUGUUAUUUAAGAAGAGACGGAGCCAAAGAGUGAGUAAUUCCUGGAUUGUGAAAGUUAGGACGAUUUGGCUACAGAUUUCAAGGUGAGAGAUGUGCAUAAAUUAGAGGCAGCUGGAGACAUUUAAAAGUCAGCCUACUAUUCCUGGGUGAUGGCUGCAUCAUAAUAUCCAGUGUACUUACUGAUUGAGUGAACUGUAUUCUCAAACAAGUAAGCAAAUUUAUGCCAAAUUUAGAUAU